GGUGGUUCUCAGAUGAUGCACCCCGGAAUCAGGCUCACUCUUUUCUGGUUCCGGGGUGUGUCACUGCAGCUCAGCA
Non-coding RNA from Myotis brandtii (Brandt's bat), 76 nucleotides. The record is from Rfam. NCBI's taxonomy places the organism in Eukaryota, Metazoa, Chordata, Mammalia, Chiroptera, Vespertilionidae.